UAUCUUCCAUUCGCAUUAGAUCCAAGAGUUGCCCCUGUAACCUCAGAGUAGAGCCUGUACACGUCACUUUAAUUAUUUGAGUUACAUUAGCAAGUUAGCGAGGUUUAACAACUGGAAAAUGGAUUUCGCGCAUAUCUACUGCGGAUAGUUACUUCGUACUUACUCGUAAUAUGUUUCACGAAAUUCUGAUAAAGUUUAUUUAUCAGAAAUGACACAAAUCAAAAAUAGUAAUCGUGAGAUACUAUUUUUGGUAAGAAAAAAGAUGCAAAGAAAACUUGAAAGAUGGAUGAAGAAACCAAAGAUCAUGAAACGAGGGGAAAAAAGGGAAAGGGUAAAAGACAAAGUUUGUUGAAAUGUGGCAAUUGAAGAACGACGCAAAUGGAUUCUACAAAUAGCAGCAUUUCCCAAACAAAUACGGCAUGCCAAUCAAUCUGCCGUGCGCAUACGCGUGUCUUGAAUAAGAACGAGCGAUUUGCGCGAAUUAUUGGAAGCCGCCAGUUACCGGUGAACAUUUCAUCAGGAGAAUGCAUCGAAGAAUCCGCGUUUCGAUCAGAUUUUGUUGACGUUCAUGUUUAAACUUUGUUCGUGAUUCAUCCUGUUGCUAUACAAAUAAGAUGGAACAACGGUAUCCAUUUAGUUAGGUCGGUGAAACGCGUUGAAUACAAAGAUCGAGCGGAGCGUAUUUCGACGGAGCAAUUUUCGUCCAUCGCGUUAGAGAUUCGGCAAUAAAGCGGGAGCGCGAUCGAGCGAAAUUACAGUGGCGAUUGUUCAAACUGACAGGGACAAGGCGAGCAUUGCGGCUUGAUGCCGGACCAAUUUUUACGCGUUAUCGUCUCGUGUCAGUGUCCAUCGGCUGCGUUCGAUUGCGCUUCUGAAAGCAUAGCAAAAUACGUUUUCCGCGCGUGAUUUCGAUCAACGUCAUCAGCCGAAAGCUUCGGAGAAAUCAAAAACGCUCGCGCGCAUCUCGAUUGAUAGUCAACGUUGAUUUCCUUUUCGUCAUUAAUAAUAAUUAUAUCCCCGAGAUAAACGGCAGCCAACGUUCUUUUAUGCCGCUUUCAGCCAGAGAUUUAGACUUUUUCCACUUUCUCUCGUGGAAUCAAUAGACGCGCACGUUUAACGGACCGUAACGUAUUCUAUGAACUUUCAUCUUGGAAUUUCUAAUAUAAGAAAGUUUGGGAUUGCAUUAAAAACAAUCUUAUUAAAAAAUAUUUAUUCUUUUUUCUUCUUUUUUUAUCAACAUUUAUAUAUAUAU
This is a long non-coding RNA of Apis mellifera (honey bee), 1252 nucleotides long. RefSeq lists it as uncharacterized. NCBI's taxonomy places the organism in Eukaryota, Metazoa, Arthropoda, Insecta, Hymenoptera, Apidae. The transcript is spliced from 3 exons. The record is from RefSeq and is a predicted model, not a curated record.